RNAcentral lists this ribosomal RNA (253 nucleotides) under uncultured bacterium. Its description in RNAcentral is "partial 16S ribosomal RNA". It matches the Rfam family "Bacterial small subunit ribosomal RNA", at positions 524 to 776 of the family's 1533-position model. The record is from RNAcentral.
UACGUAGGGACCAAGCGUUGUUCGGAUUUACUGGGCGUAAAGGGCGCGUAGGCGGCAAUUCAAGUCAGCUGUGAAAUCUCCGAGCUUAACUCGGAACGGUCAGCUGAUACUGCUUUGCUAGAGUGCAGAAGGGGCAAUCGGAAUUCUUGGUGUAGCGGUGAAAUGCGUAGAUAUCAAGAGGAACACCUGAGGUGAAGACGGGUUGCUGGGCUGACACUGACGCUGAGACGCGAAGGCGUGGGGAGCGAACGGG